AUACGGAGGGUGCAAACGUUAAUCGGAAUUACUGGGCGUAAAGCGCGCGUAGGUGGUUUAGUAAGUCGGAUGUGAAAGCCCUGGGCUCAACCUGGGAAUUGCAUUCGAUACUGCAGAACUAGAGUAUGGUAGAGGGAAGUGGAAUUUCCGGUGUAGCGGUGAAAUGCGUAGAUAUCGGAAGGAACACCAGUGGCGAAGGCGACUUCCUGGGCCAAUACUGACGCUGAGGUGCGAAAGCGUGGGGAGCAAACAGGAUUAGAUACCCGGGUAGUCC
Molecule: ribosomal RNA, 274 nt
Filed under: uncultured bacterium
Lineage: Bacteria
Description: partial 16S ribosomal RNA
Rfam family: Bacterial small subunit ribosomal RNA
Source: RNAcentral